This 1203-nucleotide ribosomal RNA is filed under the name metagenome. RNAcentral describes it as "bacterial LSU rRNA". It matches the Rfam family "Bacterial large subunit ribosomal RNA", at positions 1747 to 2925 of the family's 2925-position model. The record is from RNAcentral.
UAUGCCUUCGACGGUGUAGGGAUUUACUCCCGAAGCUGUUGAAGGUCGCAGGUAAUCGGUGGCUGCAACUGUUUAUCAAAAACACAGGACUCUGCGAACACGCAAGUGGAUGUAUAGGGUCUGACUCCUGCCCGGUGCCGGAAGGUUAAUUGAUGGGGUCAGCCGCAAGGCGAAGCUCUUGAUCGAAGCCCCGGUAAACGGCGGCCGUAACGAUAACGGUCCUAAGGUAGCGAAAUUCCUUGUCGGGUAAGUUCCGACCUGCACGAAUGGAGUAAUGAUAGCCACACUGUCUCGACCCGAGACUCAGUGAAGUUGAAAUCGCUGUGAAGAUGCGGCGUUCCCGCGGCAAGACGGAAAGACCCCGUGAACCUUCACUACAGCUUUACACUGAACUUUGAACCUUUUUGUGUAGGAUAGGUGGGAGGCUAUGAAACUUGGGCGCUAGCUCAGGUGGAGCCAACCUUGAAAUACCACCCUGAAAUGUUCGGAGUUCUAACCUUGUCCCGUAAUCCGGGAUGGGGACAGUGUAUGGUGGGUAGUUUGACUGGGGCGGUCUCCUCCCAAAGAGUAACGGAGGAGUGCAAAGGUACGCUCAGCGCGGUCGGUCAUCGCGCUCUAGAGUGCAAAGGCAUAAGCGUGCUUAACUGCGAGACGGACAUGUCGAGCAGGUACGAAAGUAGGUCUUAGUGAUCCGGUGGUUCUGUAUGGAAGGGCCAUCGCUCAACGGAUAAAAGGUACUCCGGGGAUAACAGGCUUAUUCCUCCCAAGAGUCCACAUCGACGGAGGAGUUUGGCACCUCGAUGUCGGCUCAUCACAUCCUGGGGCUGUAGCAGGUCCCAAGGGUGUGGCUGUUCGCCAUUUAAAGUGGUACGCGAGCUGGGUUCAGAACGUCGUGAGACAGUUCGGUCCCUGUCUGCCGUGGGCGUUGGAAACUUGAGGGUGAGCUGUCCUUAGUACGAGAGGACCGGGAUGGACGUAUCUCUGGUGUUCCGGUUGUCACGCCAGUGGCACUGCCGGGUAGCUAUAUACGGACGGGAUAACCGCUGAAAGCAUCUAAGCGGGAAGCCCCCCCCAAGAUUAGGUUUCCCUGGGAACUCGAUUCCCCUGAGGGGCCGUCGCAGACUACGACGUUGAUAGGCUGGGUGUGUACAUGCAGUAAUGCAUUUAGCUAACCAGUACUAAUUGCCCGUGAGGCUUGACCAU